GCUUUGUGAUUGGUAGAUGAGGCUUGUUCUGUUUAUGGCUCUGCUAUUUCUUCUCCACUGCUUGUUCCAAGAAGGAGAAGGCAAAACUGUAAAGAAUCCGAAAGGUUGUACCUGUGGUGGCUGGUGGAGACGAUGUUCAUGUGGUAGAUCUUUGGUUGGUGAGCGCGAAGCAUCAGAUAUCAUGCAGGAUUUUAAGCGGAUGGAGGAAAUGGCUGAUGAUGCCUCAGACGAUUAAGACACAAUCUUGGUUUGAAAAGAAAGUUGUAAAGCUAUAU
Molecule: long non-coding RNA, 275 nt
Organism: Saccostrea cuccullata (small rock oyster)
Lineage: Eukaryota; Metazoa; Mollusca; Bivalvia; Ostreida; Ostreidae
Exons: 3
Source: RefSeq, a predicted model, not a curated record